GUGGGGGAUAUUGCACAAUGGAGGAAACUCUGAUGCAGCGACGCCGCGUGAGUGAAGAAGUAUUUCGGUAUGUAAAGCUCUAUCAGCAGGGAAGAAAGGCCCGUAAGGGAGAUGACGGUACCUGACUAAGAAGCCCCGGCUAACUACGUGCCAGCAGCCGCGGUAAUACGUAGGGGGCAAGCGUUAUCCGGAUUUACUGGGUGUAAAGGGAGCGCAGACGGUGAUGUAAGUCUGAAGUGAAACCCCACGGCUCAACCGUGGGCUUGCUUUGGAAACUAUAUGACUAGAGUACUGGAGAGGUAAGCGGAAUUCCUAGUGUAGCGGUGAAAUGCGUAGAUAUUAGGAGGAACAUCGGUGGCGAAGGCGGCUUACUGGACAGCAACUGACGUUGAGGCUCGAAGGCGUGGGGAGCAAACAGG
This 419-nucleotide ribosomal RNA is filed under the name uncultured rumen bacterium. Its description in RNAcentral is "bacterial SSU rRNA". It matches the Rfam family "Bacterial small subunit ribosomal RNA", at positions 354 to 776 of the family's 1533-position model. The record is from RNAcentral.